GGGCUUGGAGCUCUUGAGGUCUGGCAUGUAGGUACCCUGUGCCCAGGCACCAGCGGCUCCGCAAGCCC
Molecule: microRNA precursor, 68 nt
Filed under: Ovis aries (sheep)
Lineage: Eukaryota; Metazoa; Chordata; Mammalia; Artiodactyla; Bovidae
Description: miRNA (ENSOARG00000024489.1)
Source: RNAcentral